AAGCUUUCUAAACAGGACUAAGGGCUGGAGCUCUGUCUGUGCUAAGCAGAGCAGAAGGAUUUCUUCUCAUCUGGCCAGACUUCAAAGCAAGAUAGUGCCAAGAUGCUCCUUGAAAAAUAUCUGUGAAGGAGAGAAGUCUGCCUGAUCUUGAAGAAAAGCUAGGUUUGUAGAACAUCACCAGAAAACAUCCUUUACUUGUGUGCCAGAGGAAAUUGAUAGCCUCCAGUUAAGGCAUAUUCCCAGGCAGAUGAGUAUGUAGAGCUGAAGAGUGCCAGA
Molecule: long non-coding RNA, 276 nt
Filed under: Parus major (Great Tit)
Lineage: Eukaryota; Metazoa; Chordata; Aves; Passeriformes; Paridae
Description: lncRNA (ENSPMJG00000015841.1)
Source: RNAcentral